AUGUAUCAGGAUUGGAGGAGCCUGUGGAAACACACCAAGAUUCAUUUUGAUCAUUGUGACAAUGAAAUGACACACAAGGGAAACUGGAUGCCUACUUCAUUCAAACCUUACUGAUACAUGAUCUCAUCGUCCUGUUCAACCUGAUCUGAGACUCAGGCACUGAAGAGGUUCUUCUCUGCCUUCUCCUGAGAAGAUUUUGGUGAAGACAAAAUUACCUGAUGGAAUGAUGGGAAGAGUGUGAUGUGCACAACCUGGGUUUGCAAAGCAGUCAGUCUGGACACUCCAGAUUUGAGAUGAAGCAAGGGAAGGGGGCUGUCCAUAUUCCCAUGGGAAGAACUUUUCGACCAAGUAUAAAGUCAAGGAUACUUACACUCUUAUAUAAAAAAAAAGCUAUACUCAAAUGGAUGCUGACUUAUGGAUAGGUGCCAGAUGUUCUUUCUGAUGAUAUCAUCAGAGAAGCAGCCAGAACCUGGAAACAACCUAGAUGCCCUUCAAUGGAAGAAUGGAUGAAGAAAUUAUGGAAUAUAUACAUAUUAGAGUACUACUCAGCAGUAAAAAAAAUGGGCUUCUUGAAUUGUGCAUGCAAAUGGAUGGAAAUAGAAAACACUAUCCUGAGUGAGGAGUCCAUGCCUGCUUAUUGGCCACACUAGCACAAAGAGGUGAAGAAAGCAUGGAAGCCCACAUCCUUUACUGGAUCAAGAAGCCAACCACACAGUCACAGGACAUUUGCUGGAUGUGAGCCACUCCAUUCAUUAAAAUGUGAAGAAAGCUCAUGAACUUAUUAUUUUGAAAAGACUUCUUCAAUUUCCCUUAUGUAUAUAAAUAAUAAGUGAUCUUGUCAUCCUGUUCAAGAUGAUCUCAGACAUAGUCACAGAUUAGAUCCUUCUCUGCCUUCUCCUGAGAAGCUUUUGGUGAAGACACGGACCACACACCUUCAUGAUG
Molecule: long non-coding RNA, 942 nt
Organism: Alexandromys fortis (reed vole)
Lineage: Eukaryota; Metazoa; Chordata; Mammalia; Rodentia; Cricetidae
Exons: 10
Source: RefSeq, a predicted model, not a curated record